UUUUUCCCCUUAUGCAUUUAUUGUAGACAUUUCAUAACUAACCAAAAAAUAAAGCUAAUUUGUUAAUUCUCAUAUUUUCAGAAACUUAAGUUUAUAGAACUCUUCAUGGAGCUUACACAAAAAUUUUGGAGGUUAUGCACGCAAAGAAAAGACUUUUAGGCACCUUCUUCAGAGUUGCCUUUUAUGGCCCAGUAAAUGUCAAAGAGUUUGACCCCAAAUAUGCUCAUAUCCAAGUCACUUAUGUGAAGCCCUACUUUGAUGAUAAAGAACUCACAGAAACAAAAACUGAGUUUGAAAGAAACCAUAAUAUCAACAGAUUUGUUUUUGAGGCUCCUUAUACAUUGUCAGGCAAAAAGCAAAGUUGUAUGGAGGAACAGUGCAAAGGCCGUACAGUCUUGACUACCUCAAACUCAUUUCCAUAUGUGAAGAAGAGGAUUUCUAUAAACUAUGAACAGCAGAUUCAUUUAAAGCCAAUUGAUGUUGCCACGGAUAAAAUAAAGCUGCAGAGCUGCAAAAGCUUUGCUCUUCUGCUGACGUGGACAUGAUUCAGCUCCAACUUAAAUUGCAGGGCUGUGUUUGAGUGCAGGUAAAUGCAGGUCCAUUAGCAUAUGCCAGAGCUGUCUUAAAUGACAGUCAAACUAGCAAGUAUCCACCCAAAAAAGUAAAUGAGUUGAAAGACAUGUUUAGAUAAUACAAGAAGACCCGAUGCACUCUCCCUGGAUGAGCAACACAUUACGUGUAUUUUGUGCAAUUAGUGGUACAUCAAGUGACCGAAGCUAUGGUUCCCCAAGAUACACUGCUGAAAUAUGAGGACAUGCAGAUGUCAAGUGACAACAAGACUGAACUUCUCAGGAAUAUUUGGAGGGGUGCAAAUGUUAAAAAUUUAAAGAUUUGUUGUACACAGAUUUCUACUGUAUAGUAAAGUGAUUCAGUAUACAC
Molecule: long non-coding RNA, 939 nt
Organism: Capra hircus (goat)
Lineage: Eukaryota; Metazoa; Chordata; Mammalia; Artiodactyla; Bovidae
Exons: 5
Source: RefSeq, a predicted model, not a curated record